Molecule: long non-coding RNA, 3494 nt
Organism: Zingiber officinale
Lineage: Eukaryota; Viridiplantae; Streptophyta; Magnoliopsida; Zingiberales; Zingiberaceae
Exons: 3
Source: RefSeq, a predicted model, not a curated record
GGCUAGAGCUAAAAGGGUCCGUGGUUGCUCUGUCGCAGGAAAGGUGACACUUGCAUGGGCAAAACCUGUCCGACACAAGUAUCACCUUUCUGAGACAGAGGAGCCUUGUCGAUCUAUUUGCCGUUCCAGUGUGCUCGUUGGCUUCAGCAUGCAUCAGAUCGAGGAUCCCAGUCGAUGGCUCACGAGUUCCUUCCACUCCUUUCAUCAGGAGACUGCAGUUUCAGAUGCUCUGGAAUGGCGAGGUAGGUGACGAUUAAACUCGUUAAUUCAGAAGCUAGAUCUCGUGAACAAUCGCCCGGCACAAGCGAUUAAAUGAGAGGUUGAUUAGGGACUUUGGUACGGAUUUCAGUGGAAAAGAAGGGUAUAUAUAUAUAUAUAUAUAUAUAUAUAUAUAAUCAAGCAUCCUAUUGAGUUUUUGUAGUUUUAAAUUUUAAAAGGAUUUUUUUUCUCAACCAGCACAUCAAUCCAAGCCCAUCAUGGACAAGUCUGUGCGGAUCACGGGCCUAAGUACGUCGAUUUAUCUGAAUCCAUCUUAAAAUAAAUUAAUAAAAUUUUAACUAAAUCUAAAUAAGACGGGUCAAUCUGAUGAACCCAAUUCAAAUGAAUGACUAUACUAAUUUAGUUAAAUUUUAGAUCCGGAUAUCUGGAUUAAAGUAAAAAAUAAUAUUAAGAUCAGAAAAAGAAAAGGCAAAUUCUUCCAUCACAUGGAAGCCUUUUACUUAGUCCGUUGACUGGUCCGUGCUCAAAAGUUAGAAUCGUCUGUGUGAAAACAAGGCCACGGCAAGUAUAAUAGUACACCACACUUUGAAAUUUAUUAAAGGGAUACUUUUUUAUAUAUAUAUAUUUUUUUGAUAAAUUUUAAAAUGCGGUGGAUGCGUCAAAUGAUAAAAUUAUCUGUUCUUAUCCUUAUAUGCAUCAAUACGAUGCUAUUUAUGUGGGCCAAGUUUAAUAUGGUUUUAUUUAACUAUAUUAACAACAUACAAUAUAAAUACAUUUUGUAGAAUCAUAUAAAAUAAAAUAAGAAAGUUCUUCGAUGAUAUGGAAGACUUUUACUGCGUUGGUUGACUUGGUCCUUCUUCCACAUCUACACUAGUGUCUCUGGCUCUUACAAAAAUGCAGCCAUUAAAUCAAAAUUCAGAACCACAUGUGUGAAAACAAGAGUUAACUUCACAUGGAUUGCUCCUCCGGUCAACGGCCGGUCAGCAUGGACGAAGAACAACAAGUCACUGUCUCGUUGUCAUCGACAAGAGGAGGAGCAAGGCGAAAAAGAUUCUCCAAUUCCUCGUCCCUUAGCUUAUGCAUAUAAAAACUCUAGAUCGUACAGACGAGUGGAAUCUAAGACCUUAAAUGAUUCUAAAAGUCAACAUUAUAGCUGUAAACAGGUAGAUCUGCGAUGACAGUCAACUGAUCGUUGAAUCCAUUCCAAUUUGGAAUUUUCCUAUAAGUUUUUCCGGCAUUAAUUGAUAAGUCGAAGACAAUCUGAUUCAAAUAUGUAUAAGAAAGGGAGAGCAGGUAAAGGAGGAGGAAUGAGAAGAGUUGAGUGUUCCAUGUCCAGGAGAGAUGACACCAGGUUCAUCUCUCAUAUCUUUAUAGGGAAGAAUGAGAAUCAGGUGUCAUCUCUUCUAGACAAGGAGCUUUAGUCCAACUAAAGCAUCAGCUAUGAAUUUCCACUGGUUUCUUAGUUUCUGAUGCACAUACAGUUUUGCAGGUCCUCUGGAAUUGACUUGUUUGAUCAUUAAUUGAUGGAUUCAUCAUAGUUUUUCUGGAGUUGGAGGUAAGAAUUGGAUUAUAAUUUCGAUACAUAGUUUUUGGAGUUGAGGAUUAGAUUUUGAAGGCUCCUUUUAAGUUUUAGAAUGAUUUGUCCAUAGGAAAAUUGAGAAAGAUACUUUUGUAGAAUUGAAUGUUUUUGUUCCUGUCGUUUAUGUGCAAUUUUCUUUUGAAAAUUCUUGCUGAAAAUAUUUUUAAAUAUUUUUUUCAAGGAAUCUGAAAUUAUGAUGAAUCAUGAUUUAAAAAUAGGGGAUUGUUUUUUUUUUUAUAUAUUUCUCUAUUUUUUUUUAAAAAAAAUUCAUUAUAAAAAAUAAAAGUCUUAGAAGCUUAGCCCAUGUUACACACACUUUAUUGAUGUAAUGAAUGAUGCCUUAUAUGUUAAAUAUAAUUAAGUUAUAGAAGAAUAUGUUUUAAGUUAUAUUUCAAUAUUUCUACAUUUCUACUGUAUUUUAAUUCUGUAUAUAAUUUUUAGUUCUGUAUUUGUUCUACAGUUUACAUCAGUAAAUCUUCCACUGCUUUUAUUUUACCUCCUCUGCGAGCUCAAACUACUGCAUAAAAAAGAGGCAUUAAAAGGAGAAAAAGAAAAGGAACAAAAAAAAAAAGGGAAAAGAAACUCUUGCCACUUGCUUCUUUUGUUCCCUGUGCAGGUCUUAAGUAGCUUUAAAGCUGUAACUUUGACCAGUCAGGAUGCAGUCUUAUACCAAGAAUUGUGAGUUAUAGAAAGAUGUGAAACAAAAGCAAAAGUUAGAAUCCACUAAUGAAAUCCAAGAAACAAACAAGAAGCCAGAAUGUUAGUUGAAUACAUAUGUUGUCUCUGCUCUUCCUGCAUCAUUUGCUUGUCCUUGUUCAGUUGUUAAUUCCUUCUUUAGCGAAUCAAGCUGCUGAUAUCUCUCUGUCAUUAAAGCAACUGCAAAAGCUCUUUGUUUCCUUCUUCUUCAAGAAUCUCGGGAGGUGUUUCUUUGGUGAGGGAAGCUUCAUCACCUUUAAUAAACUUGAUAAAGAAAAUUACUUUGGCAAAAGCAAGUGUUUUAUGGCCAAUGCUGCAGUCAAGAGAGGGCCUAUUGGCUACAUGAAUGUGUAUAUAUUCUCUAAUCCAUCUUCCAAACAGGUGAAGUUUCCAUGCUCCAGCCUCUGGUUCUCAUCAUGCUCUACCUGGAGGCCUCCCUGACUUCCCAGCUCUCCUGAGAAAAACAAAUAAAAUAAAAACAGGAAAAGGAUGGUGGUCAGGCACAUGGCAACAUUUGGCAAGGCAGUUCCUGAACUCAGGAUCAGCGCCAUUGGGAACUCUUCUCUUGCUACUGGAGAAAGGAUCCAAGUUCUUGUGAUCUGUUACUACUGACCGAGAUGUCGACGAAGGUACAGCAGGAGCAACCACAGGUGACACAACUCUUGCCCCUGCACAACGUGCUCUUGCCAUGGACACCAGGAGGGCAAUGUAGAACAAGAAUGCCAAGCCACUGCAAACGUCUCUUCUCAUCUCUGCUGUCAGCUCUUCCUCUCAAAGCCAAAUUCUGAGAGGAGGAACAAGGCAAUGGAUGCCUUAUUAGUCUGUGCAAAUUCUUAUACUGGGGGAUUUUGUUUUUCUUUUUUGGUCACCUUUAGUUUUGCUCUGGUGUCUUUUACUUUUAUCUUUGGAGUUUGGAAGUGAUUCUGUAUUGCUUUUGUGGGACUGCGAAGGGGGGGAGGACAAAAGCAAGUAGGUACUGAACGUGAAGUAUUUAUUUGGA